RNAcentral lists this ribosomal RNA (442 nucleotides) under uncultured bacterium. Its description in RNAcentral is "partial 16S ribosomal RNA". It matches the Rfam family "Bacterial small subunit ribosomal RNA", at positions 338 to 795 of the family's 1533-position model. The record is from RNAcentral.
CCUACGGGCGGCAGCAGUGGGGAAUAUUGGGCAAUGGGCGAAAGCCUGACCCAGCAACGCCGCGUGAAGGAAGAAGGCUUUCGGGUUGUAAACUUCUUUUGACAGGGAAGAGCAGAAGACGGUACCUGUCGAAUAAGCCACGGCUAACUACGUGCCAGCAGCCGCGGUAAUACGGAGGUGGCAAGCGUUGUCCGGAUUUACUGGGUGUAAAGGGCGUGUAGCCGGGCUGACAAGUCAGAUGUGAAAUCCGGGGGCUCAACCCCCGAACUGCAUUUGAAACUGUUGGUCUUGAGUAUCGGAGAAGCAGGCGGAAUUCCUAGUGUAGCGGUGAAAUGCGUAGAUAUGAGGAAGAACACCAGUGGCGAAGGCAGCCUGCUGGACGACAACUGACGGUGAGGCGCGAAAGCGUGGGGAGCAAACAGGAUUAGAUACCCGAGUAGUC